CACGACACUCAGUCCGCCAGAAAAUUACGAGCAUUAACCUUCUAAGCCUAAAACUCAAAAGACUUGACGGUGUCCCAACCUACCUAGAGGAGCCUGUUCCAUAAUCGAUAAUCCACGAUCAACCCUACCACCCCUCGAACCAUAACCCCAGCCUAUAUACCGCCGUCACCAGCCUACCUUUCAAAAGCUAUAAAGUAAGCACAAUAGUGCACCACUAACACGUCAGGUCAAGGUGUAGCCUAUGGGGUGUGUGCUAAUGGGCUACAUUAUCUGCCACAGAUCAUACACGAACUAUUUUUUGACAUAACUAUAUCAAGGUGGAUUUAGUAGUAAAUUAAGCAAGAACACUUAAUUUAACCCUGCUCUGGGACA
This 372-nucleotide ribosomal RNA is filed under the name Loxopholis rugiceps. Its description in RNAcentral is "partial small subunit ribosomal RNA". It matches the Rfam family "Bacterial small subunit ribosomal RNA", at positions 856 to 1381 of the family's 1533-position model. Lineage: Eukaryota; Metazoa; Chordata; Lepidosauria; Squamata; Gymnophthalmidae. The record is from RNAcentral.